UUGGUCGCAAGUUUCGUUUAAUGUACGAUCAAUAUUACUGCGACCAACAGGCGAUGUGAUGUUUAUACUAAAUGAUAUAUCAUGUGUCUAUAUGAUCAGUUAUUACAUGGUUUAACCUAGUGCACGCGACCUUUCUUUUCAGAUGGUAUUCGUAUAUGAUAGCAGACAUUAACAGAUCGCGUCCAUUGUAACUAUUUUACGAGUGGAGAGAUAUGCGAUGUAGACGUUAACUACGCAAUUGAAAAUGGCUUCGUUAUUUGCUAGUUCUAGUUCAGUAAAACAGAUAAAAGGAGGUGAGUGGAAGUACAAGAUCUACUUCGACCCCGAUGCGGGCAAAAAAAAAGGAUGGAAAUACGACCAUAUUACAGACAAGAUCCUUAUGGUUUUGCUAAGAGAAAUCGUUGGAUCGAACGAGUUGAUUAUAAAAGUUUGGGCAUAUAAAGUACGUUUAUUUAAAUUCAUACCCAAUCUGUUCUUGUUAUAUCACAUGUUUAUUGUAUUUCAAACUCAAAAUUGGUUUUGGUCCAUCGAAAAGCAUUCUGAUGGGAUAACAAUUCAACGAAGUAAGAAAGAGGCCGACGUAAGAGACAACUACAGACAAACACAGCGAAAGUCUGGACCAACACUAAUGAGGCAAUCUCGUGGAAGAACCACCAUUUUCAAUUUAAUUGAUUGGCUCUAUCAUACCAAUAAACUAAAACAUGAGUAUCAUGUCCUUCAUAGUAACUGCAAGGAUUUUGCUUCAGAAGUAUAUAAAUAUGUCGGAAUUGCUUUGUUUGACUUCUCAUUUUUGUGGUUUCCAUCUAUAGAUUUCUAUGAGGAUGAUGAUCAUAGUCAGGUGCCGAUGAAGUUGGACGGCCCACAAUUGCAAAAGCAAUUUGUAUCAUUGUGUUUGAAAAUAAGUUCCAACAUGUUUAAGAAAGACUGACAAUACACUUAAUGCACUGGAUGUUCCUAUAAUCAUGUGCAUAACGUCACAUAUGAAUAGCUUUUUACCGUUAGUUAUAUUUAUAAUCACCUAAUUAAAACAUCCGUUAACGUUAUUUCUACGAAAGUUAAAACAAAUUACAGACGUGCACCGUUAUUUCGAAAUCGUCAAUGUAUAUGUUCGUUUUUAUGAUUUGUUUACUUGUAACAGAACAAAACGAAUGAUUUCAUACAAGACUGUAAACUGCGAUAAUUAGCUGAAAAUAAGUUAUGACUAGUUAGUUAGUUUGGCAACAAGUUCUUCUGUUGCUCAUAUAUGAGCAAAUGGUUCCGUGUUUAUUAAUUGAUUGCUGUGGAUAUUUAGAAUUAAUCAAAGGAUUCUGUUAAUUAUCGUAAAUAUGUAUAUUGUAUUCAAGAUUCAUAAAGCUAUUUCCAAAGUGUUUUACCGACUUCAAUUAAUGGAUGCCGAAUGCAAUAAUUUAUUGAUAAUUGGUGACGCAGUAAAAAGGUAUCAAACGAUAUUAUGCAUCGACUGUGUAUCAAUUAUUUAUUAAUGUAUUGUUUAUUUGUUUUAAUAAAUAAACAUGUAUUUCCCUACAGUGAUAUCCAAUAAAUAAAUAUUUCCCCAUAUCGAAUCAAGACAUUUCAUCUUGAGGUUUAAGGAUUAAGGAAAGGCACAAUUUCCCAAUGUCGAGUUACAAUACAUUUUAUUUUAAGGUUUAUUUAGAGAAAUGGUAAAAGAAGAUUUAUGAAUGUUUUUUUUUUUCAUUUUUUCUAAAUUCAAUAUAUUACAUACACUGUAUACAUGUAUAUGAUCAUACAACAUAGUGAUUGUACAAAGCAAUAAAGUUCAGACAUGUUAUACAAGAUAUGCUAAUAUAUAUUUUUUUAAAGAGAAAAGAAAAGAACAACAGAAGAAGAGUUAUGAAAAAUUAUGAUUUGUAUAAAGUCGGAAGAAAGCAUACUGGACUUGUGUGUUUUCUUGUAUUUUCACAAUGAUCUUAUAAGAUUGAAAAAAAAAUAUACAAACAUAUUUUAGAAAAAUAAACUAACAUUAGAGUGAAAUGUAUAUAAGUGGACAAACAUUAUGAGAAUUUAAUCCGAUUCCAUUUUUGUUCAAAGAUUUGUAAUGUGUCAUGACUGAGGGCUAUUUCUUUCUCAAUUUGGAUUUUUAGUUUAAGACUAUGGACAAAACAAUUACAAUUUGGUACUUGUUUUUUGUACUUCAUGUUAAAGAUAAAAUAUUUCAUCAAUAUAAGAAUAAAAUUCACUAUAUUAUUACAGUCAAUUGAUUUCAAUGAGUAAAUUCCGAAACUUUGAGUUAGAUAAUUUGUAUUUAAAGAGAUAUUUAUUUGUAGCUAUAAUUCUAUAAAUGUAUUUAUAUUGAAAACGUCUCAGUGUGCUUUCAAUAGUUACUUUAUAUGUUGUGGUAAAUAUGUGUUUCAAAUUAAGUUCAUGUUCUCCAAAAAGGACUUGCCAUUUAUUUUGGGUUUUGGAGUUUUCUGUAGGGUUUUUAAUUUGUAGUGUGUAAAAUAUUUUAUUCGUUUUGUUUUUUCUUCCAAGUAUGUUUUCUACGAAUGUUGUUUGAGUGCAUCGUGUAUUAUUUGUAUUGAUUUCAGAUUUAAUAUGCAUGGGUAUGCUUUUGAUUAGUGUGUAGUACUUCAGAAAAUUAUUUGAAGGUAUUCCGUAUAUGUAGCAUAUAUCAUCAAAAGAGUAGAAAUCCUUAAUUCUGUAGUCAUAUAAUUGGUCGACAUAUUUAAUGCUUCGUUCAAACCAAUCUUUAUAGAAAAACGUCUUAUUGUUUGAAGUUAUGUCUUUAUUGUUCCAUAAAAUAGUUAUACUGCUGUUUGGGUUUCUAGGUUAUGAGUGACAUCACUCCAUGCUGAUAGAACAUCAGACAGAAAUAUGUUUUCGUGUGCAAUUUCAUGUAAGAUAGUAUUGCUGAUGUUACAUUCAAAGAGUAAGGAGUCACCAUAUUUUUUUAGGAUUUUCUGGUAGAAUAAUUUCCAUUUACUCGUAUUGGUAUUAUCUAGGUAUCUUUUAGCCCAGCUGCAUUUGAUUGCAUUCAAGAAUGAGUCAAUGUUCGUUAAUUGGAUACCUUCAUUUUCUACAGAUUGAAUUAACUGAGUUCGUUUUAUUUUAUCAGGCUUACCGUCCCAUGUGAAAUUAAAUAUUGCUGAUUUUAUAUCGUUAAUAACAUCCUUUGGUGGAUUUGGGAGAACUGUUAGUACAUAAAUUAAUUUAGGAAGUGUAAAAACGUUUUCAAUACUGGGUUUUUUCGAUUAGUGUAAGUUUACGGUGAUGCCAUGAUUUUAAGCAGUUUUUAAAAUUCUGUAAUUUAAUUAGUAUGUUUUUAAGAACUGUAUUCUUUUCACUAUUUGUGAAAGUAAUUCCUAACGUUGUGGCUUCAUCGGAUGUCCAAUUAAAUUUCAUUUCUUUUUUAUAGAGGACAUUACUUUGUUUUAAUUUACCUACUCGUAGCACAGUACAUUUACUUUUUUUUAGUUUAAUACCUGAUGUCAUUCCGUAAAGGGUUAGUGACUCCAUAAGGUUAUGAAAGGAAUCGUAAUUGUCGUUUAAAAACAAGUUGCAUCGUCAGCAAAUAUGGACUGUUUGAUAUUUGAUUUUCAACAUGUUUUCGUUUAUAGAGGGUUUCGAAAAAUAAACGUUGUUCUUCUAGUAUUUGAGUAUUGUUUGUUAUAUCUUUGCCAUUGACUACUAAUUUGUGUACAGUUUUUUGUUCACUUCUACGUUUUUAAAUGUUUGCGAAGUAUUUUGUAUUUUUUUUCAUUGUGGUCAACAUGCUGUGCACGCGCUCUUAGUAUUAUUCCAUUGAUAUGUGUAUGAUAGAUUCCAUCUAAUAUUUGUUUUUUUUUAAAAUGUUAUUUCAUUUUCAAUGUCGGUGGUAUCAUUUGUGUUUGUUUGAUUUAAUUGUUUUUCAAGUGUUUCAAUGGUUUUGAUGGUUUCAGUUUCAAGUUUGUGUGUUUCUUUUUGUUUAAAUGAUGUGUAUCUAAUUGUUGUGUUACGUAUAUUUCCUUUAAUUACUUCCCAUAAGGUGUUUGGGUUUGCAUCUUUAUUAUUUUGAACUGUAUUUAAUAUUUCUUGUUUUAUUUGUGUUUGAUAUUGUGUAUCCAAUAAAAUGCUAUUGUUAAUUUUAAAGUAUCCUGGGCCUCUUUCAGGUUGUAUAUUGUGCAGUUUAAGUUCAAGUAGAGAGUUGUCAGUCAUAAAUCCUGGUUUUAUGUUACAUGUGUCAAUAAUGUUGCAAAGAGAUUCAGAUAUAAAAAAAUAGUCUA
This is a long non-coding RNA of Dreissena polymorpha, 4220 nucleotides long. RefSeq lists it as uncharacterized. The record is from RefSeq and is a predicted model, not a curated record. Lineage: Eukaryota; Metazoa; Mollusca; Bivalvia; Myida; Dreissenidae. The transcript is spliced from 3 exons.